RNAcentral lists this ribosomal RNA (268 nucleotides) under uncultured bacterium. RNAcentral describes it as "partial 16S ribosomal RNA". It matches the Rfam family "Bacterial small subunit ribosomal RNA", at positions 524 to 792 of the family's 1533-position model. The record is from RNAcentral.
UACGUAGGUGGCAAGCGUUAUCCGGAAUUAUUGGGCGUAAAGCGCGCGUAGGCGGUUUUUUAAGUCUGAUGUGAAAGCCCACGGCUCAACCGUGGAGGGUCAUUGGAAACUGGAAAACUUGAGUGCAGAAGAGGAAAGUGGAAUUCCAUGUGUAGCGGUGAAAUGCGCAGAGAUAUGGAGGAACACCAGUGGCGAAGGCGACUUUCUGGUCUGUAACUGACGCUGAUGUGCGAAAGCGUGGGGAUCGAAACAGAUUAGAUACCGUAUC